This 397-nucleotide ribosomal RNA is filed under the name uncultured microorganism. RNAcentral describes it as "bacterial SSU rRNA". It matches the Rfam family "Archaeal small subunit ribosomal RNA", at positions 330 to 731 of the family's 1478-position model. The record is from RNAcentral.
GUGCAGCAGUCGCGAAACCUCCGCAAUGCGCGAAAGCGCGACGGGUUACCCGAGUGCCGUCCGCUGAGGACGGCUUUGCCCAGUGUAGCCAGCUGGGCGAAUAAGGAGAGGGCAAGUCUGGUGCCAGCCGCCGCGGUAAUACCAGCUCUCCGAGUGGUGGGACGCUUAUUGGGCCUAAAGCAUCCGUAGCCGGUCUGGCAAGUCCCUUGUUAAAUCCAACGAUUCAAUCGUUGGACUGCAAGGGGAUACUGCCAGACUAGGGGGCGGGAGAGGCCGACGGUAUUCCCGGGGUAGGGGUGAAAUCCUAUAAUCCCGGGAGGACCACCAGUGGCGAAGGCUGUCGGCUAGAACGCGCCCGACGGUGAGGGAUGAAAGCUGGGGGAGCGGAACCGGAUUA